Molecule: long non-coding RNA, 809 nt
Organism: Micropterus dolomieu (smallmouth bass)
Lineage: Eukaryota; Metazoa; Chordata; Actinopteri; Centrarchiformes; Centrarchidae
Exons: 2
Source: RefSeq, a predicted model, not a curated record
ACUGGGGAGCAUAUAACGCCGCCUGGAAAACGCGUCUUCUUCAAGUUUGGCCAGGAUAGAAAAGGGGGGGGAAAAAGGAAAGAACCCCCAAAACAACUCCCGGUUUCUCUCUCCUUAUCUCUCUCAGCGUCUCCCUCUCUCUUUACGUGUGCAUGACAGCAAACGGUUAUCUUUAAAAAAAAAUAAAAAAAAAAAUAAUUUAAAAAAAAAAAUCAGUGCUUAAACAGACGCUUUCUCCUGCUCUUCUUCGCAGAGGACUGACAGGCGGUGCGAAAAAACAACAACCCAGGUCUGUGGCAGAGACGACGAGGUCGAGAUGGACCGUGAUAGGCGAACAUUGUUAGCAGCGUUCGGAAAACAGGAGCGACGGUGAAAGCGAGCCAUUGUCGGCAAAUGCUCUUUUCUAUCUGGCAUGACGCAAGCAGCCGCAGUCAUUUCCACUGUGAUUGUCGGGCACCAUCAGAGAGCAUCGAUAACCCCUGCCAGGCCUUGGCACCGCCAACAGGUGCCGGCACUGCCAGCUAGGUUGGCACCAACGUGGCUGUGAAAACCCUCUGACAUCCAGAAGGGCACAGAUUUGCACUGAAUGCACCACUGAAUCAACACUGCUGAUUAUCAAUUAACAUAUACCGUUUUGUAUCACACAGAAAAGAGGGGAAAAAUGGGUUUUGAAACACAGAAAGCCUGUUUAAAAAUACUAGCUGUGUGCUGUUAUAAUCACAUGCUGAAUACAGAUUUAGCUCUGUUCAAGGUGGGUUUUACCAGCCUGUGCGGCUUUGUGUUGGAAAUACAGUACGAGGUGCACUGUG